ACACCACUCACCUCCCUAGAUAAUUCGCAGUUGUCAGUUAGAGCCUUAUCACCCAAAAGGCCUCAUGAAGCAAGCUUUGAGGCAAAAGAAAAAAUAGUUCUUGUCUUCCACACAGCAUUAAAAAAUAAAUAAGAACUAUUAGGAAUGGUUCACUGGGGCUUCCUUUUCAGUAUAUGUUUCAGUUGAUAAUCUGGCCAUUCCCAAAUAUUUACUAUUACAUACAUAAGAGAAAUGGAGAAUAAAUAUCUCAUUUAGGAUUUCAGGUUUUAGUGUUAGCUCUUAGUGGUAGGAACUGUGUUCUCCAUGAUGUUUUUUCAAGCAGUGUUUCUCUAACAGCUGACAACCUAUGACCCACACUCAAGCCUCCCAGAUUUGUGACUGUACUAAGAAGACAGAGUUAAGCUCUUUUAAUGCUGCCACUCUUCUUUGACUGCUACUGUGUGAAGUUUUUUGUUAGAAAUACUCAAACAGUAUUUCUACUUUUUCCAUUUACAUUACUUCUCACAAUCAGCUGUGGCUUCUUUUCAUUCAUGAUGAACACACAUGAAGGAAGUCCUUUGAAAGCAGAAGUUUCUCCACUGAAGAAAGAUAAUUUCCUCCCAGGAAAUUUCAUAUAUUCUGGUCAGGUUUUUUCAGUUGUUUGUCGAAACACUGCUGUCCUGUUCUGCAAUUUGAUGUCUCUGAAAAGGGUUUCAGCUACUAUCAACUAUUAA
Molecule: long non-coding RNA, 713 nt
Filed under: Numida meleagris (helmeted guineafowl)
Lineage: Eukaryota; Metazoa; Chordata; Aves; Galliformes; Numididae
Description: lncRNA (ENSNMEG00000014618.1)
Source: RNAcentral